ACAGAGUUCCCUAACAAUUUAGUAGAAUGUUUAUGAAGUGGCUUUUCUGUUUUUGUUUUUUUUUUUUUUUUCCUAGAUUGGCUACCAGAUACAUGAUAAGCCAAUACUUGGUCCCCCAGCACCAAGUAGAAACUUCCAAAGUAACAAGGAUAAUUAAAAGAGAAACCUGUAAAGGCAACAUUCCUGUGACCGAGUUGGUGCUGCUACGUGCUGGUAAGAAAACACAUUUAAUUUUUUUUAAUUCUUUUUUUUUUUUUUUUUUUGCUUUUCAUUUAAAAAAAAAAAUAAAAAGAACUGAAGGCUUUGUCUGUCUAAUGCAGUCAUAAGCGUGGCUUCC
RNAcentral lists this long non-coding RNA (337 nucleotides) under Capra hircus (goat). RNAcentral describes it as "lncRNA (ENSCHIG00000001821.1)". The record is from RNAcentral. Lineage: Eukaryota; Metazoa; Chordata; Mammalia; Artiodactyla; Bovidae.